RNAcentral lists this ribosomal RNA (584 nucleotides) under uncultured archaeon. RNAcentral's name for it is "bacterial SSU rRNA". It matches the Rfam family "Archaeal small subunit ribosomal RNA", at positions 863 to 1445 of the family's 1478-position model. The record is from RNAcentral.
AAUUGGCGGGGGAGCACAACAACGGGCGGAGCCUGCGGUUUAAUUGGACUCAACGCCGGACAACUCACCGGGGACGACAGCAAUAUGUAGGCCAGGCUGAAGACCUUGCCUGAAUCGCUGAGAGGAGGUGCAUGGCCGUCGCCAGUUCGUACUGUGAAGCAAUCCUGUUAAGUCAGGCAACGAGCGAGACCCGUGCCCACUGUUACCAGCAUAUCCUCCGGGACGAUGGGUACUCUGUGGGGACCGAUGAUGUUAAAUCAGAGGAAGGUGCGGGCUACGGUAGGUCAGUAUGCCCCGAAUUUCCCGGGCUACACGCGGGCUACAAUGAAUGGGACAAUGGGCCCCUACCCUGAAAAGGGUUGGUAAUCUCACAAACCCAUCCGUAGUUCGGAUUGAGGGCUGUAACUCGCCCUCAUGAAGCUGGAAUCCGUAGUAAUCGCGUUUCAAUAUAGCGCGGUGAAUACGUCCCUGCUCCUCGCACACACCGCCCGUCAAACCACCCGAGUGAGGUAUGGGUAAGGGCACGAACUCUGUGUCGUGUUCGAACCUGUGCUUAAAAAGGGGGGUUAAGUCGUAACAAGGUA